Molecule: long non-coding RNA, 1404 nt
Organism: Bombus pyrosoma
Lineage: Eukaryota; Metazoa; Arthropoda; Insecta; Hymenoptera; Apidae
Exons: 2
Source: RefSeq, a predicted model, not a curated record
UGCUUCUCGGCGUGGCAGCAACAGCGGUACCAGCUACAUCAGAGAUUGCGAGAGCAGCUCCCAGUUAAUAGCAUUGCGGCGAUGCUGAAAGGCGGCAUAUCGAUGUCUACGUAUUGAUUACCAGCGCAAAUAAAUUGUUUUGCGUAAGAGAGAUAGUGGAUACGGUAUUUAUGAAUUAUAUAAACGACGAAUCAAAUAAUUGUCCCAUUCGACGAGGAAUUGAAAAAAUCGCUUCGUAAACUUUGGCAAUAAUCGCAUGGUGGCGGUUGUUCGAAAUGAAAAAGGUGUUUUAGGUAUCGAUACGGUUUGCGUAGAAAUGGUGUACAAUAACACGAGCCGGUGACUAACAGCGCUGACUCUACCCCAGCAUUUUCGUCAGCGGGAAACACUGAUCCCUUAUUCUUGAUAACAAACAACGAAAGCAGCAUUGUGUAUAUUACGCAGACGGAUAUGAACGACCAUACGUAAUCCUGCUUUUAAGCAUGAAAGUGACGUGAAGCGCACGCACGCCAUUCAAAAGAAAACGUUUGGAAAAAUGUGUUUUACUUUUCCUAUUUGUAAGUUUAACAAGAUUCAGUGGGUUUAAUGUAUGUGGAGUGUAACUGUCCCAUUUCGUAUAUUAUGCUACAAAUGUACAUGGGUUAAUCCCCCGAGUAAAAAUAAGUUGAAAGUACGGGAAGAAUUUCUCUUGUACUGGAUGUUGUUUGCAAGUAAGUUAAUUUUGAAAAUCGCGAUAUAUGCGCUUGGUUAACAAUGGGAAGUUCGAUGUUGUUUUAUCGACCGAGAACUGGAAGCAAAUACGCGACAGUAAUUUUGCGAAUUCUUCACGUGGUAUGCCAUUGCGAAUCACGAUUUAGGUAGAUCCCAUGAUCCCGUGUGGGCUUAGAAAACUACCCUCGCCGAUUGUCGACGAUUUGCGGUAUUUACGUCGAUUAUCGUCUUCCUGCGAUUACAGUACAAAGACCUUGUCCCAACGAUAUCCGGACUCUCGCGGUUGUACUCUUCGAGGAGGCUGCGAUAUUAUGCUACUCAUGACGACUUUGUUGAUCGUAAUCAUAAUCUCUGACUAUCGAGAUGUGUCUAAUGAAGGAUUGAACGCUGCUCGCCAAUGACCAAGAAGCUGCUUCCCAUUGAACGAACGUGAUUCUCGAGACGGUGGUUCUGGAUUUAAUCGUUCUUUCAAGUACGCCACUGAUUUAUACAUAUGCUCACGCAUGGCGAAUGAAAUUCUCGACGUGAUUAUUAUUGCUUCGGAACAUGGCUCGAUUUGAUAUGGCAUGGUAUUAUGGUCGAUUAUGGUGCCUGAUCGUAGACGAAACACGAUAUCUUACGAAGGUUUACGAAAGAGACUGCUUAGUGCCUGUAGACGAUACUUGACCUAAAUAAAACGCUACUUCGACGUGA